GAUGAACGCUGGCGGCGUGCUUAACACAUGCAAGUCGAACGAUCAUUCGCAAGGAUGAUAGUGGCGAACGGGUGAGUAACACGUGGGUGACCUGCCCCAGAGAGGGGAAUAACUACUGGAAACGGUGGCUAAUACCCCAUACACUCGGCAGUUCGGUCUGUCGAGCAAAGCUCCGGCGCUCUGGGAGGGGCCUGCGGCCCAUCAGGUAGUUGGUAGGGUAAUGGCCUACCAAGCCUAUGACGGGUAGGGGGCGUGAGAGCGUGAUCCCCCCACACUGGCACUGAGACACGGGCCAGACUCCUACGGGAGGCAG
This 313-nucleotide ribosomal RNA is filed under the name uncultured Chloroflexota bacterium. RNAcentral's name for it is "bacterial SSU rRNA". It matches the Rfam family "Bacterial small subunit ribosomal RNA", at positions 28 to 351 of the family's 1533-position model. The record is from RNAcentral. Lineage: Bacteria; Bacillati; Chloroflexota.